GACGAACGCUGGCGGCGUGCUUAACACAUGCAAGUCGAACGGAAAGGCCUCUUUCGGGGGGUACUCGAGUGGCGAACGGGUGAGUAACACGUGAGUAACCUGCCCUUGACUUUGGGAUAACUUCAGGAAACUGGGGCUAAUACCGGAUAGGAGCUCCUGCUGCAUGGUGGGGGUUGGAAAGUUUCGGCGGUUGGGGAUGGACUCGCGGCUUAUCAGCUUGUUGGUGGGGUAGUGGCUUACCAAGGCUUUGACGGGUAGCCGGCCUGAGAGGGUGACCGGCCACAUUGGGACUGAGAUACGGCCCAGACUCCUACGGGAGGCAGCAGUGGGGAAUAUUGCACAAUGGGUGGAAGCCUGAUGCAGCAACGCCGUGUGCGGGAUGUCGGCCUUCGGGUUGUAAACCGCUUUCGCUCAUGACGAAGCUUUGUGUGACGGUAGUGGGUAAAGAAGCACCGGCUAACUACGUG
This 467-nucleotide ribosomal RNA is filed under the name uncultured bacterium. RNAcentral's name for it is "partial 16S ribosomal RNA". It matches the Rfam family "Bacterial small subunit ribosomal RNA", at positions 28 to 507 of the family's 1533-position model. The record is from RNAcentral.